GAUAUAGUCGAGCUAUCUGGUGUUCGGGAAGACGGUGAGAGUCCGUCGCUACCCCGUAACUGUAAGCGUUGAGAGUCUGGACAAGGUGUCCAAAAAGCCACUGGGAGCGGAUGCUCCUGGGAAGGCCGUUCAGGCUCGACGAAGCGCAAGUCAGGAGACCGGCCAGAUGCGCAGCACGCUU
RNAcentral lists this non-coding RNA (181 nucleotides) under Granulicella rosea. The record is from RNAcentral. Lineage: Bacteria; Pseudomonadati; Acidobacteriota; Terriglobia; Terriglobales; Acidobacteriaceae.